This 412-nucleotide ribosomal RNA is filed under the name uncultured Gammaproteobacteria bacterium. RNAcentral describes it as "bacterial SSU rRNA". It matches the Rfam family "Bacterial small subunit ribosomal RNA", at positions 9 to 423 of the family's 1533-position model. Lineage: Bacteria; Pseudomonadati; Pseudomonadota; Gammaproteobacteria. The record is from RNAcentral.
GAGUUUGAUCAUGGCUCAGAUUGAACGCUGGCGGCAGGCCUAACACAUGCAAGUCGAGCGGCAGCGCGGGGGCAACCUGGCGGCGAGCGGCGGACGGGUGAGUAACGCGUAGGAAUCUACCCAGUAGCGGGGGAUAGCCCGGGGAAACUCGGAUUAAUACCGCAUACGCCCUAAGGGGGAAAGCAGGGGAUCUUCGGACCUUGCACUAUUGGCAGAGCCUGCGUUGGAUUAGCUAGUUGGUAGGGUAAAGGCCUACCAAGGCGACGAUCCAUAACUGGUCUGAGAGGAUGAUCAGUCACACCGGAACUGAGACACGGUCCGGACUCCUACGGGAGGCAGCAGUGGGGAAUAUUGGACAAUGGGGGGCAACCCUGAUCCAGCCAUGCCGCGUGUGUGAAGAAGGCCUUCGGUU